GACGAACGCUGGCGGCGUGCUUAACACAUGCAAGUCGAACGGAAAGGCCCUGCUUUUGUGGGGUGCUCGAGUGGCGAACGGGUGAGUAACACGUGAGUAACCUGCCCUUGACUUUGGGAUAACUUCAGGAAACUGGGGCUAAUACCGGAUAGGAGCUCCUGCUGCGUGGUGGGGGUGGGAAAGUUUCGGCGGUUGGGGAUGGACUCGCGGCUUAUCAGCUUGUUGGUGGGGUAGUGGCUUACCAAGGCUUUGACGGGUAGCCGGCCUGAGAGGGUGACCGGCCACAUUGGGACUGGGAUACGGCCCAGACUACAACGGGAGGCAGCAGUGGGGAAUAUUGCACAAUGGGCGGAAGCCUGAUGCAACAACGCCGCGUGCGGGAUGACGGCCUUCGGGUUGUAAACCGCUUUCGCCUGUGACGAAGCGUGAGUGACGGUAAUGGGUAAAGAAGCACCGGCUAACUACGUG
RNAcentral lists this ribosomal RNA (468 nucleotides) under uncultured bacterium. RNAcentral describes it as "partial 16S ribosomal RNA". It matches the Rfam family "Bacterial small subunit ribosomal RNA", at positions 28 to 507 of the family's 1533-position model. The record is from RNAcentral.